Molecule: long non-coding RNA, 668 nt
Organism: Chinchilla lanigera (long-tailed chinchilla)
Lineage: Eukaryota; Metazoa; Chordata; Mammalia; Rodentia; Chinchillidae
Exons: 2
Source: RefSeq, a predicted model, not a curated record
GUAGGCGGGGGUUCAACUUUCCCAAAGAGCUAAAAUGACACCCCAAAGCCUUUCUGUACAUCCACCCUGUCCUUAGCCAACAUUUGACCUACAGCUCCACAGGAAGAGAGUGAGGGAGAAAAGUUGGGAGGACUUGGCUGUCAGACAGAAGAACUCCACCUGGCACAGAGAGGACCUGCAGGAGAAGCACUGACUGAAGGACCUCACGAGGCACACUGUCCCAGCACCUCCAGGCACCACACCCAAGCUAAGAGGGGGCACAAUCAGGACUGAGCCACCAUUGUCCCUGGGACUUGAGGUUGGGAGAGGAUAAGCAGAGACCCAGACCAUCCCCUCCCGGGAGGCUGGGACCCGGAGGAGGGCGUGCCUACUCCUGGCGAAGGGUCUUCCUCAGUGUGGCUGGAGGAAGUGGGAAGCUGUUUCCUCCCAGCUGCAGUCAUGGAGCCACAGAGUCGGGAUUCAUGGCAAAUUAAGUUGUUGAUUUGUACGUUAAAUGAGGUUAAUUCCAUCCAUUAACCAAAGAUGUUUUCAAAGCGCCUGGUGUAAGAGCGAGGAGCAAUUAGUGUCUUUGUAUUAGUGGAUGUGGGCCAGGCCGUGAGGGGAGGGGGAUGAAGCUUAUGCACUCUUUAUGAUAUCAUCAAAAGUAAAUGAAUUAUGAAAACAAAAGA